GAUGACUCUGUUUAUCUUCUAAAGAAAUAAAUAAAUACAUAUUAGUGGACUACUACCCCACAGUGUAUGCAGCAUGACUUCAGCAUGGUUUGGAUACAGGGAUGGUCGUGACAUGGAUUUAUUACAGCUUUAAGAUGAGCUCAUUCACAAGACUCUGGAUGUACUUUCAUAACAGACACUUGUAACUACUUCAAUUUGCAUUUUGAAACCCAUCCAUCCAUCCAUUUUCUUCUGCUUAUCCUGGGCCUGGUCACAGGGGCAGCAGUCUAAGCAGGGAUGCCCAGACUUCCCUCUCCCUAGACACUUCCUGCAGCUCUUCCAGGGGGACACCGAGGCGUUCCCAGGCCAGCCGGGAGACAUAGUCCCUCCAGCGUGUCCUAGGUCUUCCCCAGGGUCUCCUCCCGGUGGGACAUGCCCGGAACACCUUCCCGGGAAGGCGUCCAGGGGGCAUCCGGAAAGGAUGCCCGAGCCACCUCAGCUGG
Triplophysa dalaica is the source of this 482-nucleotide long non-coding RNA. RefSeq lists it as uncharacterized. Lineage: Eukaryota; Metazoa; Chordata; Actinopteri; Cypriniformes; Nemacheilidae. The record is from RefSeq and is a predicted model, not a curated record. The transcript has 3 exons.